Molecule: ribosomal RNA, 426 nt
Filed under: uncultured bacterium
Lineage: Bacteria
Description: bacterial SSU rRNA
Rfam family: Bacterial small subunit ribosomal RNA
Source: RNAcentral
AGGGAAUCUUCGGCAAUGGACGAAAGUCUGACCGAGCAACGCCGCGUGAGUGAAGAAGGUUUUCGGAUCGUAAAACUCUGUUGUUAGAGAAGAACAAGGAUGAGAAGAGAAUGUUCAUCCCUUGACGGUAUCUAACCAGAAAGCCACGGCUAACUACGUGCCAGCAGCCGCGGUAAUACGUAGGUGGCAAGCGUUGUCCGGAUUUAUUGGGCGUAAAGCGAGCGCAGGCGGUUCUUUAAGUCUGAUGUGAAAGCCCCCGGCUUAACCGGGGAGGGUCAUUGGAAACUGGGGAACUUGAGUGCAGAAGAGGAGAGUGGAAUUCCAUGUGUAGCGGUGAAAUGCGUAGAUAUAUGGAGGAACACCAGUGGCGAAGGCGGCUCUCUGGUCUGUAACUGACGCUGAGGCUCGAAAGCGUGGGGAGCAAAC